GGAUGAACGUUGGCGGUGUGCCUAAUACAUGCAAGUCGAACGAAGAGAGUAGCAAUACAAUCUUAGUGGCGAACGGGUGAGUAACACGUUGGUGAUCUGCCUCGAAGUGUGGAAUAACCUCCCGAAAGGGAAGCUAAUACCGCAUAGUCUCUCAAGGUUUAGAAAAUUGAGAGUAAAGGAUUUAUUCGCUUCGAGAGGAGCCUGCGUCCCAUCAGCUAGUUGGUAGGGUAACGGCCUACCAAGGCAAUGACGGGUAGGGGACCUGAGAGGGUGGCCCCCCACAAUGGAACUGAAACACGGUCCAUACACCUACGGGUGGCAGCAGUAGGGAAUAUUAGAAUGGGCGGAAGCCUGAUCUAGCAACACCGCGUGUGCGAUGAAGGCCUUCGGGUCGUAAAGCACUUUUUGGAGGGAAUAGGAAGGAAGGUACCUCCAGAAUAAGUCUCGGCUAACUACGUGCCAGCAGCCGCGGUAACACGUAGGAGGCAAACGUUAUCCGGAUUCACUGGGCGUAAAGCGCGUGCAGGUGGUUUCGUAAGUAGGGCGUGAAAGCUCCCGGCUCAACUGGGAGAGGCCGUACUAAACUGCGGAGCUAGAGGAUGGUAGAGGGAGGUGGAAUUCCAGGUGUAGUGGUGAAAUGCGCAGAUAUCUGGAGGAACACCAGUGGCGAAGGCGGCCUCCUGGACCAUACCUGACACUCAGACUCGAAAGCUAGGGUAGCAAACGGAAUUAGAGACUCCGGUAGUCCUAGCCCUAAACGAUGCAGACUAGGCGUCGGCGGUUUAAUCACCGUCGGUGUCCAAGCUAACGCGAUAAGUCUGCCGCCUGAGGACUACGGCCGCAAGGCUAAAACUCAAAGGAAUUGACGGGUCCCCGCACAAGCAGCGGAGCGUGUGGUUUAAUUCGAUGCUCCGCGAAGAACCUUACCUGGGUUUGACAUAACAGUGGUAGAGAAACGAAAGUGGACCGACCCUUCGGGGAGCUGUUACAGGUGUUGCAUGGCUGUCGUCAGCUCGUGUCGUGAGAUGUUCGGUUAAGUCCGCUAACGAGCGCAACCCGCGCUGUGUGUUACAAGUGUCACACAGUACCGCCGGUAUUAAGUCGGAGGAAGGUGCGGAUGACGUCAAGUCAGCAUGACCUUUAUAUCCAGGGCUACACACACGCUACAAUGGUCAGCACAAUAGGUUGCCAAGCCGCAAGGCGGAGCCAAUCCUCCAAAGCUGGCCUCAGUUCAGAUUGCAGGCUGCAACUCGCCUGCAUGAAGUCGGAGUUGCUAGUAACCGCAGGUCAGCAUACUGCGGUGAAUACGUUCCCGGGGAU
Molecule: ribosomal RNA, 1320 nt
Filed under: uncultured bacterium
Lineage: Bacteria
Description: bacterial SSU rRNA
Rfam family: Bacterial small subunit ribosomal RNA
Source: RNAcentral